UAGGGAAUCUUCGGCAAUGGACGAAAGUCUGACCGAGCAACGCCGCGUGAGUGAAGAAGGUUUUCGGAUCGUAAAACUCUGUUGGUAGAGAAGAACGUUGAUGAGAGUGGAAAGCUCAUCAAGUGACGGUAACUACCCAGAAAGGGACGGCUAACUACGUGCC
RNAcentral lists this ribosomal RNA (163 nucleotides) under uncultured bacterium. RNAcentral describes it as "partial 16S ribosomal RNA". It matches the Rfam family "Bacterial small subunit ribosomal RNA", at positions 355 to 509 of the family's 1533-position model. The record is from RNAcentral.